RNAcentral lists this ribosomal RNA (2408 nucleotides) under Shigella flexneri. RNAcentral's name for it is "partial 23S ribosomal RNA". It matches the Rfam family "Bacterial large subunit ribosomal RNA", at positions 549 to 2925 of the family's 2925-position model. Lineage: Bacteria; Pseudomonadati; Pseudomonadota; Gammaproteobacteria; Enterobacterales; Enterobacteriaceae. The record is from RNAcentral.
CCUGAAACCGUGUACGUACAAGCAGUGGGAGCACGCUUAGGCGUGUGACUGCGUACCUUUUGUAUAAUGGGUCAGCGACUUAUAUUCUGUAGCAAGGUUAACCGAAUAGGGGAGCCGAAGGGAAACCGAGUCUUAACUGGGCGUUAAGUUGCAGGGUAUAGACCCGAAACCCGGUGAUCUAGCCAUGGGCAGGUUGAAGGUUGGGUAACACUAACUGGAGGACCGAACCGACUAAUGUUGAAAAAUUAGCGGAUGACUUGUGGCUGGGGGUGAAAGGCCAAUCAAACCGGGAGAUAGCUGGUUCUCCCCGAAAGCUAUUUAGGUAGCGCCUCGUGAAUUCAUCUCCGGGGGUAGAGCACUGUUUCGGCAAGGGGGUCAUCCCGACUUACCAACCCGAUGCAAACUGCGAAUACCGGAGAAUGUUAUUACGGGAGACACACGGCGGGUGCUAACGUCCGUCGUGAAGAGGGAAACAACCCAGACCGCCAGCUAAGGUCCCAAAGUCAUGGUUAAGUGGGAAACGAUGUGGGAAGGCCCAGACAGCCAGGAUGUUGGCUUAGAAGCAGCCAUCAUUUAAAGAAAGCGUAAUAGCUCACUGGUCGAGUCGGCCUGCGCGGAAGAUGUAACGGGGCUAAACCAUGCACCGAAGCUGCGGCAGCGACGCUUAUGCGUUGUUGGGUAGGGGAGCGUUCUGUAAGCCUGUGAAGGUGUGCUGUGAGGUAUGCUGGAGGUAUCAGAAGUGCGAAUGCUGACAUAAGUAACGAUAAAGCGGGUGAAAAGCCCGCUCGCCGGAAGACCAAGGGUUCCUGUCCAACGUUAAUCGGGGCAGGGUGAGUCGACCCCUAAGGCGAGGCCGAAAGGCGUAGUCGAUGGGAAACAGGUUAAUAUUCCUGUACUUGGUGUUACUGCGAAGGGGGGACGGAGAAGGCUAUGUUGGCCGGGCGACGGUUGUCCCGGUUUAAGCGUGUAGGCUGGUUUUCCAGGCAAAUCCGGAAAAUCAAGGCCGAGGCGUGAUGACGAGGCACUACGGUGCUGAAGCAACAAAUGCCCUGCUUCCAGGAAAAGCCUCUAAGCAUCAGGUAACAUCAAAUCGUACCCCAAACCGACACAGGUGGUCAGGUAGAGAAUACCAAGGCGCUUGAGAGAACUCGGGUGAAGGAACUAGGCAAAAUGGUGCCGUAACUUCGGGAGAAGGCACGCUGAUACGUAGGUGAAGCGACUUGCUCGUGGAGCUGAAAUCAGUCGAAGAUACCAGCUGGCUGCAACUGUUUAUUAAAAACACAGCACUGUGCAAACACGAAAGUGGACGUAUACGGUGUGACGCCUGCCCGGUGCCGGAAGGUUAAUUGAUGGGGUUAGCGCAAGCGAAGCUCUUGAUCGAAGCCCCGGUAAACGGCGGCCGUAACUAUAACGGUCCUAAGGUAGCGAAAUUCCUUGUCGGGUAAGUUCCGACCUGCACGAAUGGCGUAAUGAUGGCCAGGCUGUCUCCACCCGAGACUCAGUGAAAUUGAACUCGCUGUGAAGAUGCAGUGUACCCGCGGCAAGACGGAAAGACCCCGUGAACCUUUACUAUAGCUUGACACUGAACAUUGAGCCUUGAUGUGUAGGAUAGGUGGGAGGCUUUGAAGUGUGGACGCCAGUCUGCAUGGAGCCGACCUUGAAAUACCACCCUUUAAUGUUUGAUGUUCUAACGUGGACCCGUGAUCCGGGUUGCGGACAGUGUCUGGUGGGUAGUUUGACUGGGGCGGUCUCCUCCUAAAGAGUAACGGAGGAGCACGAAGGUUGGCUAAUCCUGGUCGGACAUCAGGAGGUUAGUGCAAUGGCAUAAGCCAGCUUGACUGCGAGCGUGACGGCGCGAGCAGGUGCGAAAGCAGGUCAUAGUGAUCCGGUGGUUCUGAAUGGAAGGGCCAUCGCUCAACGGAUAAAAGGUACUCCGGGGAUAACAGGCUGAUACCGCCCAAGAGUUCAUAUCGACGGCGGUGUUUGGCACCUCGAUGUCGGCUCAUCACAUCCUGGGGCUGAAGUAGGUCCCAAGGGUAUGGCUGUUCGCCAUUUAAAGUGGUACGCGAGCUGGGUUUAGAACGUCGUGAGACAGUUCGGUCCCUAUCUGCCGUGGGCGCUGGAGAACUGAGGGGGGCUGCUCCUAGUACGAGAGGACCGGAGUGGACGCAUCACUGGUGUUCGGGUUGUCAUGCCAAUGGCACUGCCCGGUAGCUAAAUGCGGAAGAGAUAAGUGCUGAAAGCAUCUAAGCACGAAACUUGCCCCGAGAUGAGUUCUCCCUGACCCUUUAAGGGUCCUGAAGGAACGUUGAAGACGACGACGUUGAUAGGCCGGGUGUGUAAGCGCAGCGAUGCGUUGAGCUAACCGGUACUAAUGAACCGUGAGGCUUAACCUUACAACGCCGAAG